UAGGGAAUCUUCGGCAAUGGGGGCAACCCUGACCGAGCAACGCCGCGUGAGUGAAGAAGGUUUUCGGAUCGUAAAGCUCUGUUGUAAGAGAAGAACGUGUGUGAGAGUGGAAAGUUCACACAGUGACGGUAACUUACCAGAAAGGGACGGCUAACUACGUGCCAGCAGCCGCGGUAAUACGUAGGUCCCGAGCGUUGUCCGGAUUUAUUGGGCGUAAAGCGAGCGCAGGCGGUUUAAUAAGUCUGAAGUUAAAGGCAGUGGCUUAACCAUUGUUCGCUUUGGAAACUGUUAAACUUGAGUGCAGAAGGGGAGAGUGGAAUUCCAUGUGUAGCGGUGAAAUGCGUAGAUAUAUGGAGGAACACCGGUGGCGAAAGCGGCUCUCUGGUCUGUAACUGACGCUGAGGCUCGAAAGCGUGGGGAGCAAAUAGG
Molecule: ribosomal RNA, 429 nt
Filed under: bacterium
Lineage: Bacteria
Description: partial 16S ribosomal RNA
Rfam family: Bacterial small subunit ribosomal RNA
Source: RNAcentral